UGUUUGGAUUAGGGGCGGUUUGUAUUGGAAUAAUUAUGUAGAAAAUGUCUAUGAAGUAGAAAGAUAGAAAUAGCUUCAAGGUACGUAGCAAUGCCAUCUUUUUUAAGGCUUAAUCUAUUUUCAUCGUUCAAAUAAUUUAAUGUGCACUGGGUCAAUGAACAACCUUACAGGAUACAAUAAAGUAUAAACCUCAACUGUAUUUGCACACAGGAAGUUGAGUCUUUGAGCACACAUUCGAUCAAGUUGUCAAAAGAUAUAGAAUACAAAAAGAAGAAUGAAAUUAUUAUGAAUGGAGACUGAAAGUUUUCAACUAUCCAUGUUUCAACAACCAACUCUAUGUGCUUAUAUAGACCACGAAUGGGUGUUUCAUGAAGUGAUAUUUUAUGAACGAAUGUUUUGUGAAGCGACCUUUCAAUUCCAACAGGCAUAUGUUCGAAGAGAUAUACUAUAAAGAAGUGUCUUUUCAUAUCUUAUUCUUUUACUAAAAAUCACGUUCUUUCACAUUCAUUCUUUAAAAAUCACACUCUUUGAUUAAAGUCGCAUCUACUCACUAAGAGUUGCAUCCAUGCACUAAAACUCAAAAACUAAAUAUAUUAUUUUAAAAAUUUCCUUAUAGUUUGGUUUCACGUAAAACUUGAAGAAAAUAUUUGUGGAAAAAGACUUUUCAAAAGAAAAUAAAUUUUACGAUCUUUAGUGUUCGGUUUACAGGAAAAGAAAAAUAGUUUUUUAUUACGGUUGUUUGGUUGAAAGAAAAGACAAAUAAAAAUCUAUUAUAUGUAUUUUUCUAUUCUAUAUAUUGUAUAUUAUUAAUAUAUAAUAAUUCUUAUACUACAUAUAUUACUAUUAAAUAAAAAUCUAUUAUAUGUAAUUUUCUCUGUCCCCUUCUCAAUAACAAUAAUAAUAUUAUUAUUAUUUUAAACAA
RNAcentral lists this long non-coding RNA (922 nucleotides) under Ananas comosus (pineapple). Its description in RNAcentral is "long non-coding RNA (ACOM_LNC019603)". The record is from RNAcentral. Lineage: Eukaryota; Viridiplantae; Streptophyta; Magnoliopsida; Poales; Bromeliaceae.